CAGCAGGCGCGAAACCUUCACAAUGCGCGAAAGYGUGAUAAGGGAAUCCCAAGUGCUCAYKCUUUACAUGGACUUUUGCCAAUGGUAAAAAUCUUGGCGAAUAAGUGGUGGGGAAGAACGGUGCCCACCGCCGCGGUAACACCAGCSCCAUGAGGGGSAAUCCUUUUUAUUGGGCCUAAAGCGUCCGUAACCGGUUUUAUAAAUUUCUUGUGUAAUCGUUGUGCUUAACCUAUCGGAGUGCCGGGAACACUGCUAAACUUGAGACCGGGAGGAGYUAGAGGUAUUCCUGGGGUAGCGGUAAAAUUCUAUAAUCCUAGGAGGACCACCUGUGGCGAAGGCGUCUGACUAGAACGGGUCUGACGGUGAGGGACGAAAGCCAGGGGAGCRAACCGGAUUAGAUACCCGAGUAGUCCUGGCCGUAAACGCUGCGAGCUAGGUGUUACAUAUUCUCCGAGAAGAASMAGUGUCGAAKAGAAG
Molecule: ribosomal RNA, 477 nt
Filed under: uncultured archaeon
Lineage: Archaea
Description: partial 16S ribosomal RNA
Rfam family: Archaeal small subunit ribosomal RNA
Source: RNAcentral